RNAcentral lists this ribosomal RNA (458 nucleotides) under uncultured bacterium. RNAcentral describes it as "partial 16S ribosomal RNA". It matches the Rfam family "Bacterial small subunit ribosomal RNA", at positions 338 to 795 of the family's 1533-position model. The record is from RNAcentral.
CCUACGGGCGGCAGCAGUGAGGAAUAUUGGUCAAUGGGCGAGAGCCUGAACCAGCCAAGUCGCGUGAGGGAGUACUGCCCUAUGGGUUGUAAACCUCUUUUGUCGGGGAGCAAAAGCCGGACGUGUCCGGCUGUGAGAGUACCCGAAGAAAAAGCAUCGGCUAACUCCGUGCCAGCAGCCGCGGUAAUACGGAGGAUGCGAGCGUUAUCCGGAUUUAUUGGGUUUAAAGGGUGCGUAGGCGGGAUGCCAAGUCAGCGGUCAAAUACGGGGGCUCAACCUGCGUCCGCCGUUGAAACUGGCGUUCUUGAGUGGGCGAGAAGUACGCGGAAUGCGUGGUGUAGCGGUGAAAUGCAUAGAUAUCACGCAGAACCCCGAUUGCGAAGGCAGCGUACCGGCGCCCGACUGACGCUGAAGCACGAAAGCGUGGGUAUCGAACAGGAUUAGAUACCCCAGUAGUC